CCAGAAAUGAUGCAGACUUAAUACACUGACUAUUAUGAUGGUUUCAGUAUUCAUACUGUCUGAUCUGG
Pelobates cultripes (western spadefoot toad) is the source of this 68-nucleotide non-coding RNA. The record is from the annotation of a GenBank genome assembly. Lineage: Eukaryota; Metazoa; Chordata; Amphibia; Anura; Pelobatidae.